RNAcentral lists this microRNA (22 nucleotides) under Eisenia fetida (common brandling worm). RNAcentral describes it as "Efe-Mir-219-P7_3p (mature (co-guide))". Lineage: Eukaryota; Metazoa; Annelida; Clitellata; Crassiclitellata; Lumbricidae. The record is from RNAcentral.
AGAACUGUGUGUGGACGUCAGU